UACGAAGGGGGCUAGCGUUGUUCGGAAUCACUGGGCGUAAAGCGCACGUAGGCGGACUUUUAAGUCAGGGGUGAAAUCCCGGAGCUCAACUCCGGAACUGCCUUUGAUACUGGAAGUCUUGAGUCCGAGAGAGGUGAGUGGAACUCCGAGUGUAGAGGUGAAAUUCGUAGAUAUUCGGAAGAACACCAGUGGCGAAGGCGGCUCACUGGCUCGGUACUGACGCUGAGGUGCGAAAGCGUGGGGAGCAAACAGG
This 253-nucleotide ribosomal RNA is filed under the name uncultured bacterium. RNAcentral describes it as "partial 16S ribosomal RNA". It matches the Rfam family "Bacterial small subunit ribosomal RNA", at positions 524 to 776 of the family's 1533-position model. The record is from RNAcentral.